Molecule: ribosomal RNA, 468 nt
Filed under: uncultured Magnetospirillum sp.
Lineage: Bacteria; Pseudomonadati; Pseudomonadota; Alphaproteobacteria; Rhodospirillales; Rhodospirillaceae
Description: bacterial SSU rRNA
Rfam family: Bacterial small subunit ribosomal RNA
Source: RNAcentral
UUCGGCCAUAGUGGCGCACGGGUGAGUAACGCGUGGGAACCUGCCCAGCAGUGGGGAAUAACUUCGGGAAACCGGGGCUAAUACCGCAUACGCCCUUAGGGGGAAAGAUUUAUUGCUGUUGGAGGGGCCCGCGUCCGAUUAGUUUGUUGGUGGGGUAAUGGCCUACCAAGACUACGAUCGGUAGCUGGUCUGAGAGGAUGAUCAGCCACACUGGGACUGAGACACGGCCCAGACUCCUACGGGAGGCAGCAGUGGGGAAUAUUGGACAAUGGGCGCAAGCCUGAUCCAGCAAUGCCGCGUGGGUGAUGAAGGCCUUAGGGUUGUAAAGCUCUUUCGGCGGGGACGAUGAUGACGGUACCCGCAGAAGAAGCCCCGGCUAACUUCGUGCCAGCAGCCGCGGUAAUACGAAGGGGGCUAGCGUCGUUCGGAAUUUACUGGGCGUAAAGAGCACGUAGGCGGUUCGUUAAA